AUUGAACGCUGGCGGCAGGCUUAACACAUGCAAGUCGAGCGGGGUGAUGGUGCUUGCACUAUCACUUAGCGGCGGACGGGUGAGUAAUGCUUAGGAAUCUGCCUAUUAGUGGGGGACAACAUCUCGAAAGGGAUGCUAAUACCGCAUACGUCCUACGGGAGAAAGCAGGGGAUCACUUGUGACCUUGCGCUAAUAGAUGAGCCUAAGUCGGAUUAGCUAGUUGGUGGGGUAAAGGCCUACCAAGGCGACGAUCUGUAGCGGGUCUGAGAGGAUGAUCCGCCACACUGGGACUGAGACACGGCCCAGACUCCUACGGGAGGCAGCGGUGGGGAAUAUUGGACAAUGGGGGGAACCCUGAUCCAGCCAUGCCGCGUGUGUGAAGAGGGCCUUAUGGUUGUAAAGCACUUUAAGCGAGGAGGAGGCUCUUUUGGUUAAUACCCAAGAUGAGUGGACGUUACUCGCAGAAUAAGCACCGGCUAACUCUGUGCCAGCAGCCGCCGUAA
Molecule: ribosomal RNA, 503 nt
Filed under: uncultured bacterium
Lineage: Bacteria
Description: partial 16S ribosomal RNA
Rfam family: Bacterial small subunit ribosomal RNA
Source: RNAcentral